Molecule: ribosomal RNA, 367 nt
Filed under: uncultured eukaryote
Lineage: Eukaryota
Description: partial 18S ribosomal RNA
Rfam family: Eukaryotic small subunit ribosomal RNA
Source: RNAcentral
CACUAGCGUAUAUUAAAGUUGUUGCAGUUAAAAAGCUCGUAGUUGAAUUUCUACGUAGGGAUAGUUUUGACUUAGGUCUGGCUAUUUCUACGUAUCCGCCUAUGAUAUCCAGCUGGUCUUUACUGGUCACUGGAAGUAAUAGGCUUUUUACUUUGAAAAAAUUAGAGUGUUUAAGGCAGGCAAUCGCCUGAAUAUAUUAGCAUGGAAUAAUAGAAUAGGACACUUUUCCAUUUUGUUGGUUAUUGGAAUCGUGUAAUGAUUAAUAGGGACAGUUGUGGGCAUUUGUAUUUAAUUGUCAGAGGUGAAAUUCUUGGAUUUAUUAAAGACAAACUAACGCGAAAGCAUUUGCCAAGGAUGUUUNCAUUAA